Molecule: ribosomal RNA, 581 nt
Filed under: uncultured bacterium
Lineage: Bacteria
Description: bacterial SSU rRNA
Rfam family: Bacterial small subunit ribosomal RNA
Source: RNAcentral
GCCCUUCCUACGGGAGGCAGCAGUGGGGAAUAUUGCACAAUGGGGGAAACCCUGAUGCAGCGACGCAGCGUGCGGGAUGACGGCCUUCGGGUUGUAAACCGCUUUCAGCAGGGAAGAAGCCGUAAGGUGACGGUACCUGCAGAAGAAGUACCGGCUAACUACGUGCCAGCAGCCGCGGUAAUACGUAGGGUACGAGCGUUGUCCGGAAUUAUUGGGCGUAAAGAGCUCGUAGGUGGUUGGUCACGUCUGCUGUGGAAACGCAACGCUUAACGUUGCGCGGGCAGUGGGUACGGGCUGACUAGAGUGCAGUAGGGGAGUCUGGAAUUCCUGGUGUAGCGGUGAAAUGCGCAGAUAUCAGGAGGAACACCGGUGGCGAAGGCGGGACUCUGGGCUGUGACUGACACUGAGGAGCGAAAGCAUGGGGAGCGAACAGGAUUAGAUACCCUGGUAGUCCAUGCCGUAAACGUUGGGCACUAGGUGUGGGGGACAUUCCACGUUUUCCGCGCCGUAGCUAACGCAUUAAGUGCCCCGCCUGGGGAGUACGGUCGCAAGGCUAAAACUCAAAGGAAUGACGGAAGGGC